RNAcentral lists this ribosomal RNA (643 nucleotides) under uncultured Lachnospiraceae bacterium. RNAcentral's name for it is "bacterial SSU rRNA". It matches the Rfam family "Bacterial small subunit ribosomal RNA", at positions 67 to 725 of the family's 1533-position model. Lineage: Bacteria; Bacillati; Bacillota; Clostridia; Lachnospirales; Lachnospiraceae. The record is from RNAcentral.
UUGAAACUUCGGUCGAUUUAAUUUAAUUCUAGUGGCGGACGGGUGAGUAACGCGUGGGUAACCUGCCUUAUACAGGGGGAUAACAGUCAGAAAUGGCUGCUAAUACCGCAUAAGCGCACAGAGCUGCAUGGCUCGGUGUGAAAAACUCCGGUGGUAUAAGAUGGACCCGCGUUGGAUUAGCUUGUUGGUGGGGUAACGGCCCACCAAGGCGACGAUCCAUAGCCGGCCUGAGAGGGUGAACGGCCACAUUGGGACUGAGACACGGCCCAGACUCCUACGGGAGGCAGCAGUGGGGAAUAUUGCACAAUGGGGGAAACCCUGAUGCAGCGACGCCGCGUGAAGGAAGAAGUAUCUCGGUAUGCAAACUUCUAUCAGCAGGGAAGAUAGUGACGGUACCUGACUAAGAAGCCCCGGCUAACUACGUGCCAGCAGCCGCGGUAAUACGUAGGGGGCAAGCGUUAUCCGGAUUUACUGGGUGUAAAGGGAGCGUAGACGGUGUGGCAAGUCUGAUGUGAAAGGCAUGGGCUCAACCUGUGGACUGCAUUGGAAACUGUCAUGCUUGAGUGCCGGAGGGGUAAGCGGAAUUCCUAGUGUAGCGGUGAAAUGCGUAGAUAUUAGGAGGAACACCAGUGGCGAAGGCGGC